GAUCGCCAUACAGAAGUCAGCAGACGGCAUAGUAGCUGGCGAAUGUCAGUGAAGGCC
Molecule: non-coding RNA, 57 nt
Organism: Endozoicomonas numazuensis
Lineage: Bacteria; Pseudomonadati; Pseudomonadota; Gammaproteobacteria; Oceanospirillales; Endozoicomonadaceae
Source: Rfam